RNAcentral lists this transfer RNA (76 nucleotides) under Candidatus Omnitrophota bacterium. Its description in RNAcentral is "tRNA-Met". It matches the Rfam family "tRNA". From Rfam's summary of the family: Transfer RNA (tRNA) molecules are approximately 80 nucleotides in length. Their secondary structure includes four short double-helical elements and three loops (D, anti-codon, and T loops). Lineage: Bacteria; Pseudomonadati; Candidatus Omnitrophota. The record is from RNAcentral.
GGCGGUAUAGCUCAAUUUGGUAGAGCGCAUCCUUCAUACGGAUGAGGUUUUAAAGGUUCAAGUCCUUUUGCCGCUA